GAAGAAUACUUUCAUGUCAAUCACAAAUGCUUUUGUUAUGUGACUAAACAACUUUACUCAACCUAACGAUCAAUUUAAUUGUCACUCUUAUAUAUAUUCGAAGGAUUGCAAGUGGAUCCACCGCACACAUGAUUUCCGAACUUUAGAUUUAUCUUUAACUAUAUAUGUAAAACAUAAAAUCAAGAAUUAAUUUUUUUUGUUUCUGUUGAAUUAUUUGUAUGUAGGGCUUUUUAAUUUUUUUUUUAAUUUUUUUGUUGCUUCAUGCUUCUAGAAUCUCAAGACCGACACUCAUAAGUGACUAUCAUUCCUAACCAUGGGCAUUCAUCUUAAAAGUCAACUUUUAAUUAAUUACAAUUUACAAGUAUGAUUUGUUGUGGUUAGUGUUGACCAAUAAAUUAAUGUGUUGGUUUUUCUUGUACUAUUUUACCUAACACCUAAACGUAGUAGCAGCUAGAGCUUAAGGCAACCAAAGUCCUCUCUUUUGCUUUUACACAACCAUAACUGUUGGCUGAAUUUAUAAAGAGAUAGAAUUAUAGCUAUUUGGUGGUUUAACGAUUAUUUCCUUUUCAUAAAUAUAUUCUUAUCAUCAUUAUAUGACACGUAUUUAUGAGCAUAAUUAUAGUUAACUUUUUGCUUUCUACUAUGGACACGUAAGUAUUGAGAAGGGUGAUUAUCAUAUACCUUAGGUUAAAGUGGUAAGCAAAAAUACUUCCGUUCAUUUAACUCACAGUACAGUCGACAGUUGAAGAGAAAAAAUAAACCACAAAAUGAGGCACACCAAUAAGUGUGAACCAAUUAAAAGCACUUUUGUGUUGCAUAUUAAUUGAUGAACAUGGAGAUGUACAGCAUGGGUAGGACCAUUGGACCAUCUAAUUAACCUGCAAGUUACUGAGAUCACCCAUUGAGAGAGUUUGACUUUUUUUUCC
This 926-nucleotide long non-coding RNA is filed under the name Prunus persica (peach). RNAcentral's name for it is "long non-coding RNA (PPER_LNC003124)". Lineage: Eukaryota; Viridiplantae; Streptophyta; Magnoliopsida; Rosales; Rosaceae. The record is from RNAcentral.